This 483-nucleotide ribosomal RNA is filed under the name uncultured bacterium. RNAcentral describes it as "bacterial SSU rRNA". It matches the Rfam family "Bacterial small subunit ribosomal RNA", at positions 30 to 507 of the family's 1533-position model. The record is from RNAcentral.
UUGAACGCUGGCGGCAUGCCUUACACAUGCAAGUCGAACGGCAGCACGGGAGCAAUCCUGGUGGCGAGUGGCGAACGGGUGAGUAAUAUAUCGGAACGUGCCCGGUCGUGGGGGAUAACGUAGCGAAAGCUACGCUAAUACCGCAUACGAUCUACGGAUGAAAGCGGGGGAUCGCAAGACCUCGCGCGAUUGGAGCGGCCGAUAUCUGAUUAGCUAGUUGGUGAGGUAAAGGCUCACCAAGGCGACGAUCAGUAGCUGGUUUGAGAGAACGACCAGCCACACUGGAACUGAGACACGGUCCAGACUCCUACGGGAGGCAGCAGUGGGGAAUUUUGGACAAUGGGGGCAACCCUGAUCCAGCAAUGCCGCGUGAGUGAAGAAGGCCUUCGGGUUGUAAAGCUCUUUUGUCAGGGAAGAAACGGUGAUUUCUAAUACAGAUUGCUAAUGACGGUACCUGAAGAAUAAGCACCGGCUAACUACGUG